Molecule: ribosomal RNA, 494 nt
Filed under: uncultured bacterium
Lineage: Bacteria
Description: partial 16S ribosomal RNA
Rfam family: Bacterial small subunit ribosomal RNA
Source: RNAcentral
GACGAACGCUGGCGGCGUGCUUAACACAUGCAAGUCGAACGGUGAAGCGCCUUCCUUUUUGGUGGGUGUGGAUGAGUGGCGAACGGGUGAGUAACACGUGAGUAACCUGCCCCCUUCUUCUGGAUAACCGCAUGAAAGUGUGGCUAAUACGGGAUAUUCUGGGUCUGUCGCAUGAUGGGUCUGGGAAAGAUAUUGUUUCGGUGGGGGAUGGGCUCGCGGCCUAUCAGCUUGUUGGUGGGGUGAUGGCCUACCAAGGCGGUGACGGGUAGCCGGCCUGAGAGGGUGGACGGUCACACUGGGACUGAGACACGGCCCAGACUCCUACGGGUGGCAGCAGUGGGGAAUAUUGCACAAUGGGCGCAAGCCUGAUGCAGCGACGCCGCGUGAGGGAUGGAGGCCUUCGGGUUGUGAACCUCUUUCGCCAGUGAAGCAGGCCUGCCUCGUUUGUGGGUGGGUUGACGGUAGCUGGAUAAGAAGCGCCGGCUAACUACGUG